GUCUUCAAUCAUACCACCCUGAACACGCCCGAUCUCAUCUGAUCUCGGAAGCUACGCAGGGUUGGGCCUGGUUAGUACUUGGAUGGGAGAGAGUAGGUGUAUAAAUACC
Molecule: ribosomal RNA, 109 nt
Organism: Mustela putorius furo (domestic ferret)
Lineage: Eukaryota; Metazoa; Chordata; Mammalia; Carnivora; Mustelidae
Source: Ensembl